Molecule: unclassified non-coding RNA, 527 nt
Filed under: Hevea brasiliensis (rubber tree)
Lineage: Eukaryota; Viridiplantae; Streptophyta; Magnoliopsida; Malpighiales; Euphorbiaceae
Source: RNAcentral
UUAAAGGUGGUUGGUAGGGCAGUUACUCGUGCUGGUGUAACCAACCUCCAAGAAUCCAUUUCUUCUUCUUCUUCUGCCAUUUCUAGGUCGUCCCAAAGGCUCAAUUCUUCCAGUAAUAAUAAUCUUAUCUUAUCUUCAGCUUUUGGGUCUCCUUUUGGUAUUACUUGCAAUGUUCCAGUAUCUGCUAAUUCUGGGGGUCCCAACGCCUCUUGCUGGCCUUCUUUUGCUCCUUCUGGUUCUUGUUGUGAUGAUUAUGAGUGGGUUUCUGUGGAAGGGAGUGAAGAGGAUACUGCAAUUGUAGUUGGUGAUGAUUUUGUUCUGGGACCUGUUCCUUCCAGGGACGAAGUUCAUAGCGCUGUCUCUGCCCUUACACAGGUAUUUGAUGCUGCGUCGUACCCACAGUUCAUUACAGAUAAAUUUGCUUGUAAUGUGGAUAUGGAUGUAGCAGAUGAAAUUUUGAGUCCAACUGGGAAGCUGCCCCAUGUUUCUCCAGCAGGGUCAGAAAUAGAUUGGCUGGAGCCCUCUCC